This 1309-nucleotide ribosomal RNA is filed under the name uncultured organism. RNAcentral's name for it is "bacterial SSU rRNA". It matches the Rfam family "Bacterial small subunit ribosomal RNA", at positions 90 to 1426 of the family's 1533-position model. The record is from RNAcentral.
GACGAGUGGCGAAAGGGCGAGUAACGCGAUCGAACGUAUCCCGAGGCGGGGGAUAGGUCGCCGAAAGGCGGCGUAAUACCCCAUACGCUCUACGGAGGAAAGGCUUGCCACCUUGGGAGCGGCGAUCGUCCUAUCAGGUUGUUGGUGAGGUAACGGCUCACCAAGCCGAAGACAGGUAGCGGGUGUGAGAGCAUGGCCCGCCGCAUCGGGACUGAGACACUGCCCGGACUCCUACGGGAGGCUGCAGUUCCGAAUCUUCCGCAAUGGGCGAAAGCCUGACGGAGCAAUGCCGCGUGUGGGAUGAAGCUGUUACGCAGUGUAAACCACUGUCAGGGUCUAGCAACACUGAGCAGACCCAGAGGAAGGGCCGGCUAAUUCCGUGCCAGCAGCCGCGGUAACACGGAAGGCCCGAGCGUUAAUCGGAAUCACUGGGCUUAAAGCGUGCGCAGGCCGGACCGGUAGGCAUCUCGUGAAAGCCCACGGCUCAACCGUGGAAACUGCGGGGUGAACCGCCGGUCUCGAGGCAGGUAGAGGUCAACGGAACUAUGGGUGGAGCGGUGAAAUGCGUAGAUAUCCAUGGGAACGCCGGUGGCGAAGGCGGUUGACUGGGCCUGUCCUGACGCUCAGGCACGAAAGCGUGGGUAGCGAACGGGAUUAGAUACCCCGGUAGUCCACGCCGUAAACGCUGCACACUAGGUCGGGGGAGUUCUCACACUUUCCCGGCCGAAGGUAAACUGUUAAGUGUGCCGCCUGGGGAGUACGGUCGCAAGGCUAAAACUCAAAGGAAUUGACGGGGGCUCACACAAGCGGUGGAGCAUGUUGCUUAAUUCGAGGCAACGCGAAGAACCUUACCUAGGCUUGACAUGCACGGAUUAGCCGGCUGAAAGGUCGGUGACGCCUUCGGGUGGAACGUGCACAGGUGCUGCAUGGCUGUCGUCAGCUCGUGCUGUGAAGUGUCGGGUUAAGUCCCUUAACGAGCGCAACCCCUAUCGCUAGUUACUAACGCGUUAUGGCGAGGACUCUAGCGAGACUGCCGGUGUCAAACCGGAGGAAGGUGGGGAUGACGUCAAGUCCUCAUGGCCCCUACGCCUAGGGUUGCAAACGUGCUACAAUGGCGCGUACAAAGCGAUGCAAGCCCGCGAGGGGGAGCAAAUCGCAAAAAGCGCGCCCCAGUUCGGAUUGCAGGCUGCAAUUCGCCUGCAUGAAGCCGGAAUCGCUAGUAAUCGCAGAUCAGCUACGCUGCGGUGAAUACGUUCCUGAGCCUUGUACACACCGCCCGUCACGUCAUGGAAGCCGGGAGCGCCCGAAG